AAGAACCCUUACGAAUUAGCUUUCCCACGAGGCUAUUGAGAUGAGAGAGGUGGUAACCAGGGCCCUUUUCUGGCCUGCUUCAGCCCUUCUGCAUCCCAGGACGUUCUCAUGUCUCCACAGGGUCAAUACUGCCAAGUAUCUCUUGAACUUGCUAACAAGAAGAGACCAG
This is a long non-coding RNA of Bos indicus x Bos taurus (hybrid cattle), 169 nucleotides long. NCBI's taxonomy places the organism in Eukaryota, Metazoa, Chordata, Mammalia, Artiodactyla, Bovidae. The record is from Ensembl.